UAAAGGAUUGUGGAGACCAUGUUUUGUUGU
Molecule: non-coding RNA, 30 nt
Filed under: Homo sapiens (human)
Lineage: Eukaryota; Metazoa; Chordata; Mammalia; Primates; Hominidae
Source: RNAcentral